GGGGGAGUAUUUCAGUGGUAGAAUGCGGGUCUCCAAAACCUGAGACGAGGGUUCAAUUCCUUCCUCCCCUGCCA
RNAcentral lists this transfer RNA (74 nucleotides) under bacterium. Its description in RNAcentral is "tRNA-Trp". It matches the Rfam family "tRNA". From Rfam's summary of the family: Transfer RNA (tRNA) molecules are approximately 80 nucleotides in length. Their secondary structure includes four short double-helical elements and three loops (D, anti-codon, and T loops). The record is from RNAcentral.